UCGACGAGAGGACAUGGGAAGCUUGCUUCCUAUGAAAUCGAGUGGCAAACGGGUGAGUAACGCGUAAACAACCUGCCCUUCGGAUGGGGAUAACAGCCGGAAACGGCUGCUAAUACCGAAUACGAUCUUUUCGUCGCAUGACGGAAAGAAGAAAGGAUGGCCUCUAUACAAAGCUAUCGCCGAAGGAGGGGUUUGCGUCUGAUUAGCUGGUUGGAGGGGUAACGGCCCAACAAGGCGAUGAUCAGUAGCCGGUCUGAGAGGAUGAACGGCCACAUUGGGACUGAGACACGGCCCAGACUCCUACGGGAGGCAGCAGUGGGGAAUCUUCCGCAAUGGACGAAAGUCUGACGGAGCAACGCCGCGUGAGUGAAGAAGGUCUUCGGAUUGUAAAGCUCUGUUAUACGGGACGAAAAAGACGGAUGCCAACAGUAUCCGUCCGUGACGGUACCGUAAGAGAAAGCCACGGCUAACUACGUGCCAGCAGCCGCGGUAAUACGUAGGUGGCAAGCGUUGUCCGGAAUUAUUGGGCGUAAAGGGCGCGCAGGCGGUUCGGUAAGUCUGUCUUAAAAGUGCGGGGCUUAACCCCGUGAGGGGACGGAAACUGUCGAACUUGAGUGUCGGAGAGGAAAGCGGAAUUCCUAGUGUAGCGGUGAAAUGCGU
Molecule: ribosomal RNA, 660 nt
Filed under: uncultured bacterium
Lineage: Bacteria
Description: bacterial SSU rRNA
Rfam family: Bacterial small subunit ribosomal RNA
Source: RNAcentral